AGUGAACGCUGGCGGUAGGCCUAACACAUGCAAGUCGAACGGCAGCACAGUAAAAGCUUGCUCUUACGGGUGGCGAGUGGCAGACGGGUGAGGCAUACAUCGGAAUCUACUUUUUCGUGGGGGAUAACGUAGGGAAACUUACGCUAAUACCGCAUACGACCUACGGGUGAAAGCAGGGGAUCUUCGGACCUUGCGCGAUUGAUUGAGCCGAUGUCGGAUUAGCUAGUUGGCGGGGUAAAGGCCCACCAAGGCGACGAUCCGUAGCUGGUCUGAGAGGAUGACCAGCCACACUGGAACUGAGACACGGUCCAGACUCCUACGGGAGGCAGCAGUGGGGAAUAUUGGACAAUGGGCGCAAGCCUGAUCCAGCCAUACCGCGUGGGUGAAGAAGGCCUUCGGGUUGUAAAGCCCUUUUGUUGGGAAAGAAAAGCAGCAGGUUAAUACCCCGAUGUUCUGACGGUACCCAAAGAAUAAGCACCGGCUAACUUCGUG
Molecule: ribosomal RNA, 492 nt
Filed under: uncultured bacterium
Lineage: Bacteria
Description: partial 16S ribosomal RNA
Rfam family: Bacterial small subunit ribosomal RNA
Source: RNAcentral